AGAUAUCAUACAGACUUUAUAUAUAUUUAUAUAUCAUCAUCAUCAUCAUAUAGACUUUAUAGGACAUAACUCUGAACAGAUCAGAGGAGAUUACAGGAUCCUUUCCAGGUCAUUAGAGCGAGGAGCUGUCUUAUUACACGUGAUCAGAGGAAAGUAGACUGAACCGACACGGCAGACACGUCUAAAUGACUGCAGAGAGAGUGACUGAAAGAGGACAGCAGGUCUUCGGGUCCAGGUUUGACUCUUUUACUCUCCCUUCAGUCCUUCUCUGGACUCAGACUUUAUCAUAUAGGAGUCAGAGGAUGUUAGCAGAAUAUUCCCAGAUUAGGUUGAUUCUGCUCAGAUCUGGACUCACCGAUCUUCAGAUAAAUACAUGUAACACCGUGAUAUUCAUGUUAGAACCAUGACUGUAGGUAAUGUCUGCUCUGAAAGCCCAGAUUUACGAUUAAAGGUUCCUACUCCAGUAGCUUUAAAAGGUUUGAAUGAAUGUGAAUAUUUCAGUGUUGACAUUGAAACGCUGUAUAAAAACACUGGAGUUCAUUGUCCAUAAUGUGUAGACUUCUUAUUAUCAAUUUAAUUUAUAAAAUAAACGAAAUAAAUCCCUUAAUACUUUGAAAAGUCAGAGAACCAUCAUCUUGACCAGGUGGUGGCGCUCUCUGUGGCCCAAAAGGUCUCACCGUUCUGGGAAGCAGCUCUGGCGAAUGACUCGGCCUUCGCUCUGGAGCCUCCGGCUAGCGAGCCCGUCACAGCGCCAGCUUGUUUCUGAAUCGAUCGGUGGUUAAAAUAAAGUUUCUAAGGUGAAGUAAAUUUGCACUUCGGAUCGGGUAGGUAACGACUCACCGCCGUAAAACAAACUGAAAUGCCGAGAGAGGAAGUGACGCACGUUUCCCACAUAUGCAGUAAAAAUCAGCGACACUCCUGUAAGCGCCUCAUUAAGCUAACCGACAACCAUUGAUAGUUGGGUCGAUACUAGAACAGCGCAGCUUUUGGUAGCACCUGUAGUUACCAUGGUUACCGUAGCUAGCAACCAAAAAAAGUGAGAGUGGGACCAUUUCAGGGAUUUAUACAGCCUGUCAGGUGAUUGUAGAGGUAUCUGUAAACCCACAUAAAGGGGAGGGGGGGGUCUUAGUUGUAUUCAUCAGGGUCUGUGUGUCAAAGUAAAAACCCUGAAAACGGCGAGCAGAGAGGACGGCGUGCAGAGAGAGGCAGCGGGGGAGUCUGAUAAUGAAAACCAGACAGCGGGGGAAUCAGGGGAUAAAAAAACCUGUUGAGGGCAAACACAGAGGGGGAUCAGAUAACAGAGAGAGCAGGAACAAGAGAUCACGCUCAACAUGACACACACACACACACACACACACACACACACCUCAGAAACCAGCUGACGGUUUAACAACGAUGGCUCUAAAACUUUGGGUUUGUUCUCCCUCUCCUCUUCUUCUCUUUCAUUGUUGCUGAAAUCUUUCUUACCUUCACCUGCUGUAGAAGAAGCAGAAAGCCUCUCUCUCUCUCUCUCUCUCUCUCUCUCUCUCUCUCUCUCUCUCUCUCUCUCUGUCUCUCUGUCUCUCUCUCUCUCUCUCUCUCUCUCUCUCUCUCUCUCUCUCUCUCUCUCUCUCUCUCUCUCUCUCUCUCUCUCUCUCUCUCUCUCUCUCUCUCUCUCUCUCUCUCUCUCUCUCUCUCUCUCUCUCUCUCUCUCUCUCUCUCUCUCUCUCUCUCUCUGUCUCUCUCUCUCUCUCUCUCCGUGUUGUUGCGAAGAUUACUUGUUGAGGCGUCUCAGAGGUUUGAUAAAAUCUCUUGGCAGCCGUGAGCGAAACUGGGCCACAAUGGGAGAUGUGAGGAAAGCAAUUUGUUUCAUUUCAAAGAGGAGUGUGUGCUUUUCACCGAAAUGUGCAAAAUGGGAGAGUAAUGAAAAGUGUUUGGAGGGUUUGUCGGGCUGUAGACCUCGAGGUAAUGUUUUAAAAGAAACCUAGAAACUCCUGAUUGAGGAGAGAAAGACGCAGAAUGAUCUCAGUCCACGAAUAAAGGAGCUCGAUGAUCCUCCUGCUCUUUUCAGGAGGUCUGAGAUGGACAGGUGGAUCAGCGUUCAGAUCCCUGAGGUCAGGAGGGAGCGGAUUCACAAAGUAAGGUCCUGAGCUCUGAGAUAAGAUCACAGAUAUCUGCGCUCCAGAUAAAAUACCUUCAGAGCGACCGGGCUGGACCUCAGGGAGCCGGGUCAGAGCUUAAAAGAGCCGGUCUCAGUGACAGCAGGAUCUGAUCUUAUAGACCGUCCACGGUGGACCACCGUUUAGAGACAAACCCCUGUCAGAGGACGUCUAAGAGAGGUGGACCGACUCAAAUCCACGUUUAUCAUCAACAUCCUGAAGACUUUUUACCCCCCGAUAAAAAAGUCAAAUUUAAAAAAGUUUUAUUGAUCCAACGUUGAAAAAAUCUGCAGCUGAGAAAACUGAGAAACACUCAUACAGAUAAUAUUUUAACUCUGGUUGAAUAUUUGACAAACUUUAACACCCAAACACAGGAGGAAGUCUGUUUCUAUGGUAACGACGUGGUUCAGAAAGUUUAAACUCAUAAAUAUGAUGAAACAAUGAACGAAACAUGAACUACUCUUGUAGCGACUCUGAAGACCAACCUUGUCGCUUGAGAGGAAGUUGUGGGUCAAGUGUCACGAUAUCCAUAGACUCAGGACUCCUUUGGAAAUACAGCAGGAACAAACAAAACGGCAAACGAACGCCAAGAGAUUCUCUGUGAGGCGGUCAACAAAAAUUAUAGGGAUUCAAACAUAAAGUGAUUAAUAUUUAAGUUUGCCAGGUUUUGCCAUAAUCAGGUAGCUUUAAAACAAAUGCUUGGUGAUAAAAAUUCAGAAUUUAUAUACAUAUUUAUUGAUCAUAUUCGGCUAUUCGGUAUUCGGUUAUUCGGCCAAGUGUUUCUUAUAUUCGGUAUUCGGUUUCGGCCAAGAUUUUCCCAUUCGGUCCAUCCCUAAAAAAUUAGGACCACUCCGCUCCCCUCUCUCCCCCUGACUGCAGGUUAGCCACGUCUUUUCAGAGCGAGGGUGGGUUUAUUCUGCAGUAACCCCCAACCUCCACCUUCAUCCUGAUCAUCUCCUAAAAGGUCGUAUCCUCCGAUCGUAGCUGAUCGUAAACAUUCAAGUUAACGUGUCAAUUUACACCGACUUCUUUCGGGCACAGACACAAAUUCAGCACAGAUUAACCCGUGCUGGAAAGGAAGUCAGGAUCGUAUUUCACACCAUGCAAACGGGCGGAGACGAACAAGUGAAAGGUUUUUAGACGUCAUUUCACCCCGAUGACACCAUGGAUGAGGAGAUGCUGAUUCUAGAAGUCUAGAAGUAGAUUUCCUCCUCUGGAAGGACACAAUCUACUGCUUAUAUGUCUAUGUGUCUGUCUCUAUAGAGAUAACUCGUUAUCACGUGAUUGAACGUGAAUCCGCGGGUUCUUGUGAGUUCUAGCGAUUCCGGCUGUUCGUAAUCCGCCACGAAAUUUGCCUCACAAACGGAUGCGGCAGGAAUCGCGGACUUGCCGCUGUUCCAGAUGCGGUGAGUUCCAGAGUAACGUGUUUUUUUGUCCCCUCACCUUUAAAAUCAAAGACCUGUUUUCUCCGUUUCCCGUCCAAAGUCUGAAUAUUCAUGACCAAACUGAGGAAACAUUGACUCUGGAUUUGUCCGUGAAUCUGUUUGAUAAAUACGAUCACAAACCGAGGCGUUUUGUUUGCGUUUGCUCACGGCGGCGUCCUCUCUGAUCGUGUUUUUGGUUAAUAAUGAAGAAAGGCGCUCGCUGCUCGAGUUGACAAACACGGAUUAUUAUGUUUUUCUUCUGUUUCGACCAAGUUUGACGUGUUUUUUCAGAGACGAUCUCUGCAGCGGUAAAAUCAGCGUUGAGGGUCAGAGCUGCAGGUUGUAGUCUGAGGAGUUCACAGACGUGUUAAAGGUUCUGAAACAUCAGUGUAGUCGGCGCUCAUAUUCAUGUAAACGAGCAGAUGGAGCGAGCUGCUGAUGGACGCUCUCCAGCUCUGUUUAUAUUCGGAGCAGCAGCUGCAGACGGCUGGAGGCCUGCUGCUCCACCCACCGACCGACCCACCGACCCACCGAACGAACGACCAACCAGCCGGCCAGAAAAAGACGCUCAGAGUUUCUGAGAGAGCAGAGAUCGAGCUGAAACAGGAGAAGAGGGGAGAAACCGUAGAGUGCUGCAUUAUGGGAAAUGAAGUCUGUUUGUUUCUUAUUUAUAAGGACAGAGAAAAGCUGCAGCAGUCAGGAAACAGGAGGCGUGUAAUUCCUGUUCUUUUGUUCCCUCAGUGCGAUCUGGCAGGCAUCAACCUCCUGCUCAGGUGCUCACACACACACACACACACACACACACACACACACACACACACACACACACACACACACACACACACACACACACACACACACACACACACUCUCUCUCUCUCUCUCUCUCUCUCUCUCUCUCUCUCUCUCUCUCUCUCUCUCUGCUCACUUUGUCUAAGUUCACCGCCUCACAGCAGACCGAACAUAAAACCCAAAAAAGGUCAAAGGUCACUGAUUUUAGGUUUAAUGGAGUAAAUUCAGACAAAAUUCCAUCACUAUAUCAGCUUCCUCCCUCCUCUAAGAUGGCGGUGCCAACGGUGGACCCAGUCCACUCAGGAUUCCCCCCCUGAUUUAACCCUUGGCUCAUGCUGAGGAAGUUAGAGCGGGUCUGUUUGGACUCAGCGGGGCGAGGAAACCAUGUGGGUCUCUGUAAUCAGGAUUCUGGGUCUGAACUGCUGCAGGAACAAUCAUGAUGUGAAGAUCUGCCUUCAGCAGCAGACGAGACCAAAGGACACAGCCUUUAUUUAUUUAUCUAUUUAUUUAUUUAUCGGAGGAUUUAUAGUUUUUUUUACAGCAUGUGGGAAAUAAAAAAGAGAGUUAAUGUUUAUUAUUAUUAUUUUAUUAUAAUUACUAUUAUUAUUAUUAUUUUUUUUUUUUAAUAUUAUUAUUGUUAUUGUUUUUAUUAUCAUUAUCAUAAUUAUCAUAACCAUUAUGAUGAUAAUGAUGAUGAUGAUUAUAAUAAUAAUAAUUAUUAUUAUUAUUAUUAUUAUUAUUAUUAUUAUUUAUCCUUUAAUUUUAUUAUUAUUAUUAUUAUUAUUAUUAUUAUUAUUUAUCUUUAAUUGUUAUUAUUUUAUUAUUAUUAUUAUUAUUAUUAUUAUUAUUAUUAAAUUGUUAUUAUUUUUAUUAUUAUAAUCCAAUGUGCACUGUUUAUUCCCACCAUAGCGAUGAAAACUCACACACUCUGGGGAGUCUGUAGGAGUGAGUCUGUAGGAGCGGGUCUGUGGGCUCUUGUGAGUCUGUGGGCUCUUGUGAGUCUGUGGGCUCUUGUGUUCAGCAGCAGCAGCAGCAGGUAUAGAGCUACACUAACUAGAUCCUGUCAGACUCUGAGACGUGCUGCAGAGUGACGUGUUAAAUCUGCCGUGAAGAAAACGCUCUGACAGACAGUCAACACUGACACACACACACACACACACACACACACACACACACACACAUGUUUAUAUGUAUGACUGUUGGUUAAACAGACGGACUCUGAAAAACACUCAGACAGGAUUUCAGUCACGACAGCGGAGUGACACACAUGGAGCGGAAUAGUCUCUGAGUUUGUGGACAAAAACCUGGUCCAGGUUUUUUUAGCGGGUUUAGAGACGAGGCGGCGCUCCUGAUCUGAACUGAUACCAACAGAAAAUCAAACAAGUUUCUUCUCCAGAGAGAGACAAACACAAAUCUGUCAGAGUUUUUCUUAUUAGUGCUGAAAUCUAAAGUCUUAUUAAAACACUAAUCCUCAUUAUUCUUAUAAUUAUCAUAUUCUCGUUUUUCUUAUUAUUCUUAUUAUCCUCACUAUUCAUCAUAAUUCUUCAUUAUUUUAAUUAUUCUCAUAAUUCUCAUUAAUCUCGUUAUAAUCUGUCAAUCCUUCAGACUCACAUGAUCCAAAUCAAACCUCCUCCAGACCCGAACAG
Molecule: non-coding RNA, 6000 nt
Organism: Xyrichtys novacula (pearly razorfish)
Lineage: Eukaryota; Metazoa; Chordata; Actinopteri; Labriformes; Labridae
Source: the annotation of a GenBank genome assembly